RNAcentral lists this ribosomal RNA (468 nucleotides) under uncultured bacterium. RNAcentral's name for it is "partial 16S ribosomal RNA". It matches the Rfam family "Bacterial small subunit ribosomal RNA", at positions 28 to 507 of the family's 1533-position model. The record is from RNAcentral.
GACGAACGCUGGCGGCGUGCUUAACACAUGCAAGUCGAACGGAAAGGCCCUGCUUUUGUGGGGUGCUCGAGUGGCGAACGGGUGAGUAACACGUGAGUAACCUGCCCUUGAUUUUGGUAUAACUUCAGGAAGCUGGGGCUACUCCCGGAUAGGAGCCCCUGUUGCAUGGAGGGGGUUGGAUCGUUUAGGCGGUUGGGGAUGGACUGGCGGCUUAUCAGCUUGCUGGUGGGGUAGUGGCUUACCCAGGCUUUGACGGGUAGCCGGCCUGAGAGGGUGACCGGGCACAUGACGACUGAGAGAGGGACCAGACGCCAACGGGAGGCAGCAGUGGGGAGUAUUCCACAGUGGUCGGGAGCCUGAUGCAGCAACGCUCCGGUCGGGAUGACGGCCUGCUGGUUGUGAACCGCUGUAGCCUGUGACGAAGCGUGAGUGACGGUAAUGGGUAAAGAAGCACCGGCUAACUACGUG